This 735-nucleotide ribosomal RNA is filed under the name rhizosphere soil bacterium BEM-350. RNAcentral's name for it is "bacterial SSU rRNA". It matches the Rfam family "Bacterial small subunit ribosomal RNA", at positions 126 to 872 of the family's 1533-position model. The record is from RNAcentral.
CUGCCCCUGACUCUGGGAUAACAGUUGGAAACAUCUGCUAAUACCGGAUAUGAGACGUGACCGCAUGGUCGACGUUUGGAAAGAAUUUCGGUCAGGGAUGAGCUCGCGGCCUAUCAGCUUGUUGGUGAGGUAAUGGCUCACCAAGGCGUCGACGGGUAGCCGGCCUGAGAGGGUGACCGGCCACACUGGGACUGAGACACGGCCCAGACUCCUACGGGAGGCAGCAGUGGGGAAUAUUGCACAAUGGGCGAAAGCCUGAUGCAGCAACGCCGCGUGAGGGACGACGGCCUUCGGGUUGUAAACCUCUUUUAGCAGGGAAGAAGCGAAAGUGACGGUACCUGCAGAAAAAGCGCCGGCUAACUACGUGCCAGCAGCCGCGGUAAUACGUAGGGCGCAAGCGUUAUCCGGAAUUAUUGGGCGUAAAGAGCUCGUAGGCGGUUUGUCGCGUCUGCUGUGAAAACUGGAGGCUCAACCUCCAGCCUGCAGUGGGUACGGGCAGACUAGAGUGCGGUAGGGGAGAUUGGAAUUCCUGGUGUAGCGGUGGAAUGCGCAGAUAUCAGGAGGAACACCGAUGGCGAAGGCAGAUCUCUGGGCCGUAACUUGACGCUGAGGAGCGAAAGGGUGGGGAGCAAACAGGCUUAGAUACCCUGGUAGUCCACCCCGUAAACGUUGGGAACUAGUUGUGGGGUCCAUUCCACGGAUUCCGUGACGCAGCUAACGCAUUAAGAUUCCCGC